UUGGUUAAGUUAGAAAGGGCGCACGGUGGAUGCCUUGGCACUAGGAGCCGAAGAAGGACGGGACUAACACCGAUAUGCUUUGGGGAGCUGUACGUAAGCGUUGAUCCAGAGAUUUCCGAAUGGGGGAACCCACUAUCUUUAGUCGGAUAGUAUCCUUACGUGAAUACAUAGCGUGAGGAAGGUAGACCCAGGGAACUGAAACAUCUAAGUACCUGGAGGAAGAGAAAGAAAAAUCGAUUUCCUGAGUAGCGGCGAGCGAAACGGAAAGAGCCCAAACCAAGAAGCUUGCUUCUUGGGGUUGUAGGACACUCUAUACGGAGUUACAAAAGAAAGUUAUAAAUGAAGCGGUCUGGAAAGGCCCGCCAAAGACGGUAACAGCCCGGUAGUUGAAAUGGCUUUCCCUCCAGAGUGGAUCCUGAGUACGGCGGAACACGUGAAAUUCCGUCGGAAUCCGGGAGGACCAUCUCCCAAGGCUAAAUACUCCCUAGUGACCGAUAGUGAACCAGUACCGUGAGGGAAAGGUGAAAAGCACCCCGGAAGGGGAGUGAAACAGUUCCUGAAACCGUGUGCCUACAAGUAGUUAGAGCCCGUUAAUGGGUGAUAGCGUGCCUUUUGUAGAAUGAACCGGCGAGUUACGAUUUGUUGCAAGGUUAAGCGGAAAAAGCGGAGCCGUAGCGAAAGCGAGUCUGAAUAGGGCGCAUAAGUAACAGGUCGUAGACCCGAAACCAGGUGAUCUACCCAUGUCCAGGAUGAAGGUAAGGUAAUACUUACUGGAGGUCCGAACCCACGCACGUUGAAAAGUGCGGGGAUGAGGUGUGGGUAGCGGAGAAAUUCCAAUCGAACUUGGAGAUAGCUGGUUCUCUCCGAAAUAGCUUUAGGGCUAGCCUCGAGGUAAAGAGUCAUGGAGGUAGAGCACUGUUUGGACUAGGGGCCCUUCUCGGGUUACCGAAUUCAGAUAAACUCCGAAUGCCAUGUACUUAUACUCGGGAGUCAGACUGCGAGUGAUAAGAUCCGUAGUCGAAAGGGAAACAGCCCAGACCACCAGUUAAGGUCCCCAAAUAUAUGUUAAGUGGAAAAGGAUGUGGGGUUGCUUAGACAACCAGGAUGUUGGCUUAGAAGCAGCCACCAUUGAAAGAGUGCGUAAUAGCUCACUGGUCGAGUGACCCCGCGCCGAAAAUGUACCGGGGCUAAACAUAUUACC
This 1201-nucleotide ribosomal RNA is filed under the name Listeria monocytogenes. RNAcentral describes it as "partial 23S ribosomal RNA". It matches the Rfam family "Bacterial large subunit ribosomal RNA", at positions 1 to 1195 of the family's 2925-position model. The record is from RNAcentral. Lineage: Bacteria; Bacillati; Bacillota; Bacilli; Caryophanales; Listeriaceae.